GACAAGAAAUAACAAUACAGAGCCUUACGGUUUUGUAAUUGGAAUGAGUUAAGUAUAAACCCCUUAACAAGUAUCAAUUGGAGGGCAAGUCUGGUGCCAGCAGCCGCGGUAAUUCCAGCUCCAAUAGCGUAUAUUAAAGUUGUUGCAGUUAAAAAGCUCGUAGUUAAUUUUCUGUUAAUUUUUAUAUACAAUACUACGGUAUUUAUAUAAUAUUAACAUAAUUCAUAUUACUUUUUAGUAUAUGAAACUUUACUUUGAGAAAAUUAGAGUGCUUAAAGCAGGCUAUUGCCUUGAAUACUCCAGCAUGGAAUAAUAUUAAGGAUUUUUAUUCUUCUUAUUGGUUCUAGAAUAAAAAUAAUGAUUAAUAGGGACAGUUGGGGGCAUUUGUAUUUAACAGUCAGAGGUGAAAUUCUUAGAUUUGUUAAAGACAAACUACUGCGAAAGCAUUUGCCAAGGAUGUUUUCAUUAAUCAAGAACGAAAGUUAGGGGAUCGAAGACGAUCAGAUACCGUCGUAGU
Molecule: ribosomal RNA, 517 nt
Filed under: Cryptosporidium ryanae
Lineage: Eukaryota; Apicomplexa; Conoidasida; Eucoccidiorida; Cryptosporidiidae
Description: SSU rRNA
Rfam family: Eukaryotic small subunit ribosomal RNA
Source: RNAcentral